This is a non-coding RNA of Musa acuminata subsp. malaccensis (wild Malaysian banana), 94 nucleotides long. Lineage: Eukaryota; Viridiplantae; Streptophyta; Magnoliopsida; Zingiberales; Musaceae. The record is from Rfam.
AAGAUAGUGAUGAAGUAAAAAGAUCUAUAUCCAACACUUGAUCUGAGGAUCAAAGAUUCCACUGAUGUAACAUUUCUUUUGCUUCUGAAUCUGA